ACCGGGAUCUUGUGCUUAAUUUUGUAUUUACAUUAGUUAGCGAUAACUUACAUUAUGUAGUUCCCACUUUGGCUUGGUGUUUGGCGGUGUGGCGCGUCGCUAGACUGAGGGGGCUGACCCCACAAGAUUAUCAAGAGCGGGUAAGUGAGAGCGUGGCCGACACCCUUAAAGAACAACUCUCUCAAAGGGUAUUGGACCCCCUCUUUGAGACGAACCACGUUCUUCUUCCGGCAAACAAAACUAGUUAUGAUGUAAUAGAAGUUAUGGUAGCGCACGACCCA
This 281-nucleotide unclassified non-coding RNA is filed under the name Hevea brasiliensis (rubber tree). Lineage: Eukaryota; Viridiplantae; Streptophyta; Magnoliopsida; Malpighiales; Euphorbiaceae. The record is from RNAcentral.